GACGAACGCUGGCGGCGUGCUUAACACAUGCAAGUCGAACGGAAAGGCGCUGCGCUUGUGGGGCGGACGAGUGGCGAAGGGGUGAGUAACACGCGUGUAACACCCCCUUAUCUUUGGGAUAUCACCAGGGAACAGGGGCUAUAACAGGAGAGAAGCUCCUGCUGCGUGUGGGGGGUUGGAGAGAUUCGGCGGUGUUGGCUCGUAUCGCGGCUUAUGAGCUUGUUGGUGGGGUAGGGGUUGACAAGGGCUAUGACGGGUAGCCGGCAUGGGAGGGUGACCGGCCACAUGGGGACUGAGGUAGGGCCCAGACGCCUACGGGAGGCAGCAGUGGGAAAUAUUGCACAAUGGCGGGAAGCGUGAGGCAGAAACGCCGCGUGCGUGAUGACGUCCUUUUGGUUGUAAACCGCUUUCGCCUGUGACGAGGCGGGAGUGACGGUACUGAGUAAAGAAGCACCGGCUAACUACGUG
Molecule: ribosomal RNA, 468 nt
Filed under: uncultured bacterium
Lineage: Bacteria
Description: partial 16S ribosomal RNA
Rfam family: Bacterial small subunit ribosomal RNA
Source: RNAcentral